Molecule: non-coding RNA, 1002 nt
Organism: Phalacrocorax carbo (great cormorant)
Lineage: Eukaryota; Metazoa; Chordata; Aves; Suliformes; Phalacrocoracidae
Source: RefSeq, a predicted model, not a curated record
GAGAAAACAAAAUCCUGGGCUCGGGGCUUGGCAGCGACAGCACGAAAAACCUCCCUUCAAUUUUCCAAAGAUUUGCUACCCAGUCUCUGUGUGGUUGAGCAGUACAGCAUGCUGGAUAGGUACCCCGGCAACAUUGUGAGAGUCACCCUGAGAAAAGAAGGAAUUCCACUGCAGUGUCACACUUACUGGUCUUCAGGUCAUGGCUAGGAUCAGGCAACAGGCGGUUCUCCUGUGCUAGCCAUGCCAUACCUGGAGAGAGAGGGAGCCAAGAAGCCAGCUUCUAUGCCCAGAAACAUUUUGCAGCUUGCCUUGCUCCCACCCAUGAUUAUCCUCUCAACCCUGCAUGGUCUCCAAAGAACUGGAAAAGAGUGCAGAACAUAUCUUCCCAUCUUGGGAAUUUUGACAAAACCUCACCGAUCUGCUUCUACUUCUUUUCUGUGAAGUGUGUGCACUUUAUCAGAUGCUUCCUUCGUCACAUGGCUGCACAGGAGUGAUUAUUGGGACACCUCUACUGCUGAUGCACAGCAAAGAUGGCCCAGCACAGCAGCGGACUACACAAGCUGAGAGGCUUAAGAGGAAAGAGCCAGGCUCACUCACAUUGCCAUUGAAGACAACAUCUAUUUGCACAGUGUAAGGGACCAAAUACCAGUGGGAAGAAUCAAGUAUUUUCAGGCUUCUCAGAGGAAUAUUAUAAACAAAGCAGAGUAAAAAGAGAGGUGUAUAAAAUGUCUUGACAGUGCCUUUUAAGUGAGUCGCCAUGUGUUAUUUUAGCCAAGACUUUAUUCAUUUCUACUUAAUGCUGUGUGCUAAAGGUCUCAAAGCUGCUGGCAAUACUCAGUGGAAUAAUUUUAGAGCAACCUUAAUAGAAUGAGCAGAAUAAAGGACUGUUCAAACACAUUCUAGUAGGAUAGCUUUUUAAUAGAACAAGUUAUCCAAAACACUGAUGGCAGAAGCUUGUGGAUGGAAAAAUCUCCCCUGUGUUUAAUUACCCCAGCCUGUCUU